This 1943-nucleotide long non-coding RNA is filed under the name Zostera marina. Its description in RNAcentral is "long non-coding RNA (ZMAR_LNC003779)". The record is from RNAcentral. Lineage: Eukaryota; Viridiplantae; Streptophyta; Magnoliopsida; Alismatales; Zosteraceae.
UGCAAGCAACCGCGGAAGGGCAUGGCUAGUUUCUACAGAGAUAGUAGAGAGGAACAAGAAGAAAUAAGAGAGAAGAGGAGGAGGAGAUACCUGCGGAGGCGAGGCGGAGAGAGUUUCGCCGAACCGGCUUCUUGAUGAGAUCGGCGGCAAUAGUGAGAGGGGUCGAGGGUUUUAUUUGAGGGGUUUGACUUUAGCUGGGGGUAAAAUAAAUUUUUUUUAUAAGGUAAUAGUGAAAAUGUGCCCAUAAAUCCCGUAAUCACUAAAUUUCUCAAAUAUACCCAAAAAUCUAAAAUAGUAAAUGUCAAAUGAUAAACCCUAAAAUCUAUAUUCCUAAAUCGAUCAUCUUAUUCAUCUACGUCACUACUACACCGACGGCUCCCCCAGUACCAGUCCUCCACCUCGGUCCUCGGCACCUCCACGCCUCCUUCUGCACCAGGCGAAAAGAAGCAGGCAAUUCCGCCAGAAACCAGUUCGAUGGGCAGAAAGGGCAGGUCAAAUGAUUUCCUCUUUCUCUGAUUUAUUCUCUGUUUUUUCAAUUGAUUUGGGAAUUGGGCUUAUUUAAUUGACUUAUACUGUUAUACAUUAUAUUUCUUUUUGAUACCUCCGGACUAUAUAUAAUAGUCACAUAAUAUAUGAUCGAAAAAAUCUAAGUGGAAAUGUACACAUUGAGAUUUGAACCUUGGACUUCAGAAACCUCAAUAGUUACUGAGCAGUGAGCCAAUCUUAUUGUGUUAUAGAUUACAUUUAUGAAAUUAUGAACUAGUUGUAUACUUGUAUUAUACAGUAAUCUUGUAUAUGAAAUUAUGGGCUUAUUUUUCUCUCUCUACAACUUGUAUAUGAAUGAAUUGGGUUGGUUAUUCAAUUGACUUAUACUGAGGAGUUGAGUUUACGCAUACAAAAGAACAAAAGAUCAAAUGGAUCUGCUUAGAAUGAAAUGUUGAUCAAAGAAUAAUAUUUUUGCCUAAAGAAUACCUUAGGGUAUCUUAGGUCUUUCUAGCAGUUCUAAAAUAAAAGCAAUUAAAGCACACAAAAAAGUUAGGGUAUCUUUAAUUAUAGGUUAUGUUCAAUACCUCUAUAAGCUUUAAAGCUAUCUCUUUUACGGAUCAGUAUUUUCAAAGUAGACUCACACGUAAUUAAGAGUACACAUACUAUUAUAUAGAACUUUCAAAUCUUUUCGAGUAGAUUUGAUAACCUAAAAUCUUUACAGGUAGAUUCAAGUAUUCAACCUAAAAGUUUUACCAUACUCAUUCUUUAAAACCAAAUAAAUUUUUGAGGUUAAACUUUAAAACCUUUUGAAAUCUCAGAUAACCAUCCUCUCUGACAGAUUUUGAUCAGAUUUGAAAAAGAAAGAAAACAGUUGAUAUAUGACUAUAUGAGAGAUUUGUCUUUUUCCAACUCUAAAAGAGUUCUCACAACACUUUCACUCUGACAGAAUUUGAUGUUGACAGAAUAAGUGUACAUAGUGAGUCGAUGAAGAAGCAGAGGGAGAGAAAAAGAUGAUUGCUGAUUAUCUCUUCUUGGAAACUGGAAAUCUUUGGAAGCUAGAACUCGAAAUAUCUCUUGGUGGAUCUUGAAAGUGAGUGAGUGAUUGCUCAAAAUGAUUGUAAGGUGGAUGAGAGAAAUGAACAACCAUGAGGGUCCUUUUAUAGCCUUCAUCUCUUUAAAUGGAUCUUUGAAUCUUCAUCCCUUGGAUCUUGAAUCAAUGGUUGAGAUCUUUGCUAGAUGAUGAAGAUAACUUGAGGUGAAGCUUACUCAUUAAGUUAUCUGAUGCUGACCUGUAUUAAGUUGUCAGAAAUUACCUGAUAUGAUCUGGUAGUUUGUACAUUGAUCUGAUACUGAUUUUUACUAUAUGUUGAUUGUGGGUGAUUUUAAGCUCUCACCAAGCUCAAAAUAGUUAACCACAUAUAUAAUCAGAUUUAGGGUUUGAAUGAAUUAAAUUUGAG